UACGUAGGUGGCAAGCGUUGUCCGGAUUUACUGGGUGUAAAGGGCGUGUAGGCGGAGAAGCAAGUUGGGAGUGAAAUCUAUGGGCUCAACCCAUAAACUGCUCUCAAAACUGUUUCCCUUGAGUAUCGGAGAGGCAAGCGGAAUUCCUAGUGUAGCGGUGAAAUGCGUAGAUAUUAGGAGGAACACCAGUGGCGAAGGCGGCUUGCUGGACAUUAACUGACGCUGAGGCGCGAAAGCGUGGGGAGCAAACAGG
This 253-nucleotide ribosomal RNA is filed under the name uncultured bacterium. Its description in RNAcentral is "partial 16S ribosomal RNA". It matches the Rfam family "Bacterial small subunit ribosomal RNA", at positions 524 to 776 of the family's 1533-position model. The record is from RNAcentral.